UCAAGCAAGAAAGAGCGCAGGGUGGAUGCCUUGGCACUAAGAGCCGAAGAAAGACGUGAUAAGCUGCGAAAAGCUGCGGGGAGGAGCAAAUAUCCAUUGAGCCGCAGAUAUCUGAAUGGGGAAACCCGGCUGGAUGAACUCCAGUCAUCCAUACGCCAAUCCAUAACGUAUGGAAGGGAACCCGGUGAACUGAAACAUCUAAGUAGCCGGAGGAAGAGAAAGAAAAAUCGAUUUCCAAAGUAGCGGCGAGCGAAAUGGAAAGAGGCCAAACCAUGGUGCGUGCACCGUGGGGUUCGGACCGCAUAAUUGAUUCGUUGAUUCUAGCAGAAAGGUUUUGGGAAAGCCUGCCAGAGAGGGUGAAAGCCCCGUAAGCGAAAGGAAAGACGACAUGGCGGAAUCCAGAGUACAUCGAGACACGAGAAACCUUGAUGGAAUGAGCGGGGACCACCCCGUAAGCCUAAAUACUCCUUAGUGACCGAUAGCGCAUAGUACUGUGAAGGAAAGGUGAAAAGGACCCCGGGAGGGGAGUGAAAGAGAACCUGAAACCCUGUGUUUACAAGCUGUGGAACAUCUUUAAAUGAUGAACCGCGUACUUUUUGUAGAACGGUCCGGCGAGUUACGCGUGCCGGCAAGGUUAAGCACUUAAGGUGUGGAGCCGAAGAGAAAUCGAGUCUGAACAGGGCGUUCAGUCAGCACGCGUAGACCCGAAACCGGGUGAUCUACCCAUGUCCAGGUUGAAGUUGCCGUAAAAGGCAAUGGAGGACCGAACGCACAUCCGUUGAAAAGGGUGGCGAUGAGGUGUGGGUAGGGGAGAAAUUCCAAUCGAACCCGGAGAUAGCUGGUUCUCCUCGAAAUAGCUUUAGGGCUAGCCUCAUUUUAGUCUUAUGGAGGUAGAGCACUGAAUUUCCGCGGGGGCGUCAAAGCUUACCAAAGAAUAUCAAACUCCGAAUGCCAUGUAGAUGAUGAAUGGGAGUCAGACUGCACGAGAUAAGUUGGGUGGUCAAAAGGGAAAGAGCCCAGACCUACAGCUAAGGUCCCAAAGUGCGUGUUAAGUGGAAAAGGAUGUGGGAUUUCAAAGACAACCAGGAUGUUGGCUCAGAAGCAGCCAUACAUUCAAAGAGUGCGUAACAGCUCACUGGUCGAGAGGUCCUGCGCCGAAAAUGUCCGGGGCUGAAACACGACACCGAAGCUUAGGAAUCACAUAGUGAUUGGUAGAGGAGCAUUCUUAAAACCGACGAAGCUGUACCGGAAGGAGCAGUGGAGGGAUAAGAAGAGAGAAUGCCGGAAUGAGUAGCGAGAGGAAGGUGGGAAUCCUUCCGGCCGAAUAUCUAAGGUUUCCAGAGUAAAGCUGAUCUGCUCUGGGUAAGUCGGGGCCUAAGGAGAGGUCGAAAGACGUAUCCGAUGGACAACAGGUUUAGAUUCCUGUACCACAUAUAAACAGAACUGUGGGGACGCAUGUGGAAAGCAUAAGCCGGGAAUGGAAAUACCGGUACAAACGGAAGAGGUGUCAGGCUGGCAAAUCCGCCUGGCAAGCCAAAGACGUGAUGUGGAGCGAAAUAAAAGUAGCGAAGUAUGUGAGCCAUGUGCCGAGAAAAGCCGCUAUUGUUUUAUAUGUGCCCGUACCGUAAACCGACACAGGUGGAUGAGGAGAGAAUCCUAAGGCCGACGGAAGAAGCAUUGUUAAGGAACUCGGCAAAAUGACCCCGUAACUUCGGGAGAAGGGGUGCCCACUUCAGGGUGGGCCGCAGAGAAUAGGCUCAAGCAACUGUUUAGCAAAAACACAGGUCUAUGCGAAACCGUAAGGUGAAGUAUAUGGGCUGACGCCUGCCCGGUGCUGGAAGGUUAAGAGGAGAGGUUAGUCGCAAGAUGAAGCUUUGAAUUUAAGCCCCAGUAAACGGCGGCCGUAACUAUAACGGUCCUAAGGUAGCGAAAUUCCUUGUCGGGU
This 1945-nucleotide ribosomal RNA is filed under the name human gut metagenome. Its description in RNAcentral is "bacterial LSU rRNA". It matches the Rfam family "Bacterial large subunit ribosomal RNA", at positions 3 to 1977 of the family's 2925-position model. The record is from RNAcentral.